This 74-nucleotide transfer RNA is filed under the name Caldithrix abyssi. RNAcentral describes it as "tRNA-Arg". It matches the Rfam family "tRNA". Rfam says of the family: Transfer RNA (tRNA) molecules are approximately 80 nucleotides in length. Their secondary structure includes four short double-helical elements and three loops (D, anti-codon, and T loops). Further hydrogen bonds mediate the characteristic L-shaped molecular structure. tRNAs have two regions of fundamental functional importance: the anti-codon, which is responsible for specific mRNA codon recognition, and the 3' end, to which the tRNAs corresponding amino acid is attached (by aminoacyl-tRNA synthetases). tRNAs cope with the degeneracy of the genetic code in two manners: having more than one tRNA (with a specific anti-codon) for a particular amino acid; and 'wobble' base-pairing, i.e. permitting non-standard base-pairing at the 3rd anti-codon position. Lineage: Bacteria; Pseudomonadati; Calditrichota; Calditrichia; Calditrichales; Calditrichaceae. The record is from RNAcentral.
GCCCCUGUAGCUCAGCUGGAUAGAGCAGAGGCUUCCUAAGCCUUUGGUCGGGGGUUCGAAUCCCUCCAGGGGUA